This 484-nucleotide ribosomal RNA is filed under the name uncultured bacterium. RNAcentral's name for it is "partial 16S ribosomal RNA". It matches the Rfam family "Bacterial small subunit ribosomal RNA", at positions 28 to 523 of the family's 1533-position model. The record is from RNAcentral.
GAUGAACGCUGGCGGCGUGCCUAAUACAUGCAAGUCGAGCGGUAAGGCCUCUUCGGAGGUACACGAGCGGCGGACGGCUGAGUAACACGUAGGAACAUACCCCAAUGUGAGGGAUAACUGCUCGAAAGAGUAGCAAAUACCGACUGUGGUCUUCGGAUUAAAGCUUCGGCGCUUUGGGACUGGCCUGCGUCUGAAUAGCUAGAUGGUGAGGUAAAGGCUCGCAAUGGCGACGAUCAGUAGCUGGUCUGAGAGGAUGAUCAGCCAGACUGGGACUGAGAAACGGCCCAGACUCCUACGGGAGGCAGCAGUAGGGAAUAUUGCACAAUGGGGGAAACCCUGAUGCAGCCAUGCCGCGUGUGUGAAGAAGGCCUUCGGGUUGUAAAGCACUUUCAGCGAGGAGGAAAGGUCAGUAGCUAAUAUCUGCUGACUGUGGCGUUACUCGCAGAAGAAGCACCGGCUAACUCCGUGCCAGCAGCCGCCGUAA